This 484-nucleotide ribosomal RNA is filed under the name uncultured bacterium. RNAcentral's name for it is "partial 16S ribosomal RNA". It matches the Rfam family "Bacterial small subunit ribosomal RNA", at positions 29 to 507 of the family's 1533-position model. The record is from RNAcentral.
AUUGAACGCUGGCGGCAUGCUUUACACAUGCAAGUCGAACGGCAGCGCGGGCUUCGGCCUGGCGGCGAGUGGCGAACGGGUGAGUAAUACAUCGGAACGUGCCCAGUAGUGGGGGAUAGCUCGGCGAAAGCCGGAUUAAUACUGCAUACGACCUGAGGGUGAAAGCGGGGGAUCUUCGGACCUCGCGCUAUUGGAGCGGCCGAUGGCAGAUUAGCUAGUUGGUGGGGUAAAGGCCUACCAAGGCGACGAUCUGUAGCUGGUCUGAGAGGACGACCAGCCACACUGGGACUGAGACACGGCCCAGACUCCUACGGGAGGCAGCAGUGGGGAAUUUUGGACAAUGGGCGAAAGCCUGAUCCAGCAAUGCCGCGUGUGUGAUGAAGGCCUUCGGGUUGUAAAGCACUUUUGGCGGGAACGAAAAGGACUGUGCCAAUACCACGGUCCGAUGACGGUACCCGCAGAAUAAGCACCGGCUAACUACGUG